AGCGGAUGAGAAGAGCUUGCUCUUCGAUUCAGCGGCGGACGGGUGAGUAAUGCCUAGGAAUCUGCCUGGUAGUGGGGGACAACGUUUCGAAAGGAACGCUAAUACCGCAUACGUCCUACGGGAGAAAGCAGGGGACCUUCGGGCCUUGCGCUAUCAGAUGAGCCUAGGUCGGAUUAGCUAGUUGGUGAGGUAAUGGCUCACCAAGGCGACGAUCCGUAACUGGUCUGAGAGGAUGAUCAGUCACACUGGAACUGAGACACGGUCCAGACUCCUACGGGAGGCAGCAGUGGGGAAUAUUGGACAAUGGGCGAAAGCCUGAUCCAGCCAUGCCGCGUGUGUGAAGAAGGUCUUCGGAUUGUAAAGCACUUUAAGUUGGGAGGAAGGGCAGUGAGCGAAUACCUUACUGUUUUGACGUUACCGACAGAAUAAGCACCGGCUAACUCUGUGCCAGCAGCCGCGGUAAUACAGAGGGUGCAAGCGUUAAUCGGAAUUACUGGGCGUAAAGCGCGCGUAGGUGGUUUGUUAAGUUGAAUGUGAAAGCCCCGGGCUCAACCUGGGAACUGCAUCCAAAACUGGCAAGCUAGAGUACAGUAGAGGGUGGUGGAAUUUCCUGUGUAGCGGUGAAAUGCGUAGAUAUAGGAAGGAACACCAGUGGCGAAGGCGACCACCUGGACUGAUACUGACACUGAGGUGCGAAAGCGUGGGGAGCAAACAGGAUUAGAUACCCUGGUAGUCCACGCCGUAAACGAUGUCAACUAGCCGUUGGAAUCCUUGAGAUUUUAGUGGCGCAGCUAACGCAUUAAGUUGACCGCCUGGGGAGUACGGCCGCAAGGUUAAAACUCAAAUGAAUUGACGGGGGCCCGCACAAGCGGUGGAGCAUGUGGUUUAAUUCGAUGCAACGCGAAGAACCUUACCUACUCUUGACAUCCAGCGAACUUUCCAGAGAUGGAUUGGUGCCUUCGGGAACGCUGAGACAGGUGCUGCAUGGCUGUCGUCAGCUCGUGUUGUGAAAUGUU
This 1016-nucleotide ribosomal RNA is filed under the name uncultured bacterium. Its description in RNAcentral is "bacterial SSU rRNA". It matches the Rfam family "Bacterial small subunit ribosomal RNA", at positions 65 to 1076 of the family's 1533-position model. The record is from RNAcentral.